UAUCGAAUUUGGGGAGGGAAGAUGGAAGGGUGAAGACUGUCGCUGGCUAGAUUAGCAUGUGCACGUCUCUCGCCUUUUCAUCUAACCUUUCUCUUUCUCUCACACCUGUGCACCUGUCGUAGGCCCUCGAAAGAGGAUCUAUGUUUUUUCACAUCACACCUGAUUUGCAUGGCCAUAGAAUGUGUCAUAAUGAAAUAAAUACAACUUUCAGCAACGGAUCUCUUGGCUCUCGCAUCGAUGAAGAACGCAGCGAAUUGCGAUAAGUAAUGUGAAUUGCAGAUUUUCAGUGAAUCAUCGAAUCUUUGAACGCACCUUGCGCUCCUUGGUAUUCCGAGGAGCAUGCCUGUUUGAGUGUCAUUGAAUUCUCAACCAUGCCUUUAUUGGAGGGCAUGGCUUGGAGUUUGGGAGGUUGCUGGCGUCGAAGGACGGUCGGCUCUCCUGAAAUGUAUUAGUGAUGGACAAGCAGGUCUUUCGACGUGCACGGCCUCCCGACGUGAUAAUGAUCGUCGUGGCUGGAGCGUCAGACAUCGACCUUGCCUCAAAUUGCUUCCAAUCAUGGACCGAGUCAAGCUUAGCUACUAGUUGGUCUCAGACUGGUGAAUGCGGCCGGAGCUCGAGUCAAUGAAUGCUUGACCUCAAAU
RNAcentral lists this unclassified non-coding RNA (641 nucleotides) under Neoboletus erythropus. Its description in RNAcentral is "sequence contains ITS1, 5.8S rRNA gene, ITS2". The stretch from base 203 to 357 matches the Rfam family "5.8S ribosomal RNA". Lineage: Eukaryota; Fungi; Basidiomycota; Agaricomycetes; Boletales; Boletaceae. The record is from RNAcentral.